GGCUGCAGUCGACGAAUCUCACCGGUGUAGCAAUACAUUGGUGGGGGAAGUGGCGAAAGGGGCAGUAAUGCGUGGGUAACCUACCCCGGGGAUGGGCAUAGCUGUUCUAACGAGCAGGUAAUUCCCAGCGAUUCGGCGAGGGGGCAUCUUCUUGCCGGGAAAUGAGUUUCGCCUCGGGAGGGGCUCACGUGCUAUUAGCUUGUUGGCGGGGUAACGGCCCACCAAGGCAAAGAUGGCUAGCGGGUGUGAGAGCACGACCCGCGCCACUGGCACUGAGACACUGGCCAGACACCUACGGGUGGCUGCAGUCGAGGAUCUUCGUCAAUGGGCGCAAGCCUGAACGAGCGACGCCGCGUGUGCGAUGAAGGCCUUCGGGUUGUAAAGCACUGUCGAGGGGGAGAAAGCCGAAAGGUUGAUCUAUCCCUGGAGGAAGCACGGGCUAAGUUCGUGCCAGCAGCCGCGGUAAGACGAACCGUGCGAACGUUGUUCGGAAUCACUGGGCUUAAAGGGCGCGUAGGCGGCCUGCAUGGUCGGGGGUGAAAUCCCGCAGCUCAACUGCGGAAGUGCCUUCGAUACCGGCGGGCUCGAGGAAGGUAGGGGUGCGCGGAACUUCUGGUGGAGCGGUGAAAUGCGUUGAUAUCAGAAGGAACGCCGGCGGCGAAAGCGGCGCACUGGACCUUUUCUGACGCUGAUGCGCGAAAGCCAGGGGAGCAAACGGAAUUAGAUACCCCGGUAGUCCUGGCCCUAAACGAUGGGUACUAGGUCGUGGGCCGGUCAUGGGCUCACAACCGAAGCAAAAGUGUUAAGUACCCCGCCUGGGGAGUAUGGUCCCAAGGCUGAAACUCAAAGGA
This 851-nucleotide ribosomal RNA is filed under the name uncultured bacterium. Its description in RNAcentral is "bacterial SSU rRNA". It matches the Rfam family "Bacterial small subunit ribosomal RNA", at positions 52 to 908 of the family's 1533-position model. The record is from RNAcentral.